This 400-nucleotide ribosomal RNA is filed under the name uncultured bacterium. Its description in RNAcentral is "bacterial SSU rRNA". It matches the Rfam family "Bacterial small subunit ribosomal RNA", at positions 357 to 774 of the family's 1533-position model. The record is from RNAcentral.
GGGAAUAUUGGACAAUGGGCGCAAGCCUGAUCCGGCAAUGCCGCGUGGGUGAAGAAGGUUUUCGGAUUGUAAAGCCCUUUUGGCGGGGACGAUGAUGACGGUACCCGCAGAAGAAGCCCCGGCUAACUUCGUGCCAGCAGCCGCGGUAAUGCGAAGGGGGCUAGCGUUGCUCGGAAUGACUGGGCGUAAAGGGCGCGUAGGCGGCUUGUACAGUCAGAUGUGAAAUUCCCGGGCUUAACCUGGGGGCUGCAUUUGAUACGUGCGGGCUGGAGUGUGGAAGAGGGUCGUGGAAUUCCCAGUGUAGAGGUGAAAUUCGUAGAUAUUGGGAAGAACACCGGUGGCGAAGGCGGCGACCUGGUCCGUGACUGACGCUGAGGCGCGAAAGCGUGGGGAGCAAACA